This 490-nucleotide ribosomal RNA is filed under the name uncultured bacterium. Its description in RNAcentral is "partial 16S ribosomal RNA". It matches the Rfam family "Bacterial small subunit ribosomal RNA", at positions 30 to 507 of the family's 1533-position model. The record is from RNAcentral.
AUUGAACGCUGGCGGCAGGCCUAACACAUGCAAGUCGAACGGUAACAGGAAGAAGCUUGCUUCUUUGCUGACGAGUGGCGGACGGGUGAGGAAUGUCUGGGAAACUGCCUGAUGGAGGGGGAUAACUACUGGAAACGGUAGCUAAUACCGCAUAACGUCGCAAGACCAAAGAGGGGGACCUUCGGGCCUCUUGCCAUCGGAUGUGCCCAGAUGGGAUUAGCUAGUAGGUGGGGUAACGGCUCACCUAGGCGACGAUCCCUAGCUGGUCUGAGAGGAUGACCAGCCACUCUGGAACUGAGACACGGUCCAGACUCCUACGGGAGGCAGCAGUGGGGAAUAUUGCACAAUGGGCGCAAGCCUGAUGCAGCCAUGCCGCGUGGAUGAAGAAGGCCUUCGGGUUGUAAAGUACUUUCAGCGUGGAGGAAGGGAGUAAAGUGAAUACCUGCGCUCAUUGACGUUACCCGCAGAAGAAGCACCGGCUAACUCCGUG